GGUUUGAUCAUGGCCUGUACUGAACGCUGGCGGGAUGCUUUACACAUGCAAGUCGAACGGCAGCACGGACUUCGGUCUGGUGGCGAGUGGCGAACGGGUGAGUAAUGUAUCGGAACGUGCCUAGUAGCGGGGAUAACUACGCGAAAGUAGCUAAUACCGCAUACACUCUUCGGGGGAAAGCGGGGACCUUCGGGCCUCGCACUAUUAGAGCGGCCGAUAUCGGAUUAGCUAGUUGGUGGGGUAACGGCUCACCAAGGCGACGAUCCGCAGGCUGGUUUGAGAGGACGACCAGCCACAUCGGGACUGGAGACACGGCCCAGACUCCCUACGGAGGAAAGGGGGAAUUUUGGACAAUGGGAAACCCCUGAUCCAGCCAUCUCAAGCGUGUGCGAUGAAGGCCUUCGGGUUGUAAAGCACUUUUGGGCAGGAAAGAAACGGCACGGGAUAAUACCCCGUGCAACUGACGGUACCUGCAGAAUAAGCACCGGCUAACUACGUGCCAGCAGCCGCGGUAUACGUAGGGUGCAAGCGUUAAUCGGAAUUGCUGGGCGUAAAGCGUGCGCAGGCGGUUCGGAAAGAAAGAUGUGAAAUCCCAGAGCUUAACUUUGAACUGCAUUUUUAACUACCGAGCUAGAGUGUGUCAGAGGGAGGUGGAAUUCCGCGUGUAGCAGUGAAAUGCGUAGAUAUGCGGAGGAACACCGAUGGCGAAGGCAGCCUCCUGGGAUAACACUGACGCUCAUGCACGAAAGCGUGGGGAGCAACAGGAUUAGAUGCCUGUAGUCACGCCGUAACGACAACUGUCAUUGGGCCUCGGCCCCGUGUGCAGCUAACGCGUGAAGUCGAACGCCUGGGGAGUCGUCGCAGGAUUAAAAAACUCAAAGGAAUUGACGGGGACCCGCACAAGCGGUGGAUGAUGUGGAUUAAUUCGAAGCAACGCGAAAAACCUUACCUACCCUUGACAUGUCUGGAAUCCCGAAGAGAUUUGGGAGUGCUCGCAAGAGAACCGGAACACAGGUGCUGCAUGGCUGUCGUCAGCUCGUGUCGUGAGAUGUUGGGUUAAGUCCCGCAACGAGCGCAACCCUUGUCAUUAGUUGCUACGGAAAGGGCACUCUAAUGACUGCCGGUGACAAACCGGAGGAAGGUGGGGAUGACGUCAAGUCCUCAUGGCCCUGGCGGUAGGGCUUCACACGUCAUACAAUGGUCGGGACAGAGGGUCGCCAACCCGCGAGGGGACAACCCAGAAACCCGAUCGUAGUCCGGAUCGCAGUCUGUAACUCGACUGCGUGAAGUCGGAAUCGCUAGUAAUCGCGGAUCAGCAUGUCGCGGUGAAUACGUUCGCCCGUACACACCGCCCGUCACACCAUGGGAGUGGGUUUUACCAGAAGUAAAGUUAGCCUAACCGUAAGGAGGGCGAUUACCACGGUAGGAUUCAUGACUGGGGUGAAGUCGUAACAAGGUAG
Molecule: ribosomal RNA, 1460 nt
Filed under: uncultured Bordetella sp.
Lineage: Bacteria; Pseudomonadati; Pseudomonadota; Betaproteobacteria; Burkholderiales; Alcaligenaceae
Description: partial 16S-23S ribosomal RNA intergenic spacer
Rfam family: Bacterial small subunit ribosomal RNA
Source: RNAcentral